GUGAACGCUGGCGGUAGGCCUAACACAUGCAAGUCGAACGGCAGCACAGUAAGAGCUUGCUCUUCCGGGUGGCGAGUGGCGGACGGGUGAGGAAUACAUCGGAAUCUACUUUUUCGUGGGGGAUAACGUAGGGAAACUUACGCUAAUACCGCAUACGACCUACGGGUGAAAGCAGGGGAUCUUCGGACCUUGCGCGAUUGAAUGAGCCGAUGUCGGAUUAGUUAGUUGGCGGGGUAAAGGCCCACCAAGGCGACGAUCCGUAGCUGGUCUGAGCGGAUGAUCAGCCACACUGGAACUGAGACACGGUCCAGACUCCUACGGGAGGCAGCAGUGGGGAAUAUUGGACAAUGGGCGCAAGCCUGAUCCAGCCAUACCGCGUGGAUGAAGAAGGCCUUCUGGUUGUAAAGCCCUUUUGUUGGGAAAGAAAAGCAGCACGUUAAUACCCCGCUGUUCUGACGGUACCCAAAGAAUAAGCACCGGCUAACUUCGUG
This 491-nucleotide ribosomal RNA is filed under the name uncultured bacterium. RNAcentral's name for it is "partial 16S ribosomal RNA". It matches the Rfam family "Bacterial small subunit ribosomal RNA", at positions 29 to 507 of the family's 1533-position model. The record is from RNAcentral.